Molecule: long non-coding RNA, 1082 nt
Organism: Megalobrama amblycephala (Wuchang bream)
Lineage: Eukaryota; Metazoa; Chordata; Actinopteri; Cypriniformes; Xenocyprididae
Exons: 3
Source: RefSeq, a predicted model, not a curated record
UAGUGCAUGUUAACUAAUGUUAACUAAUGAUAUUUUAUUGUAAAGUGUUAUAGGUAGGGCCCACUAUAUCCUUUUUUUACCAAGAAAGAGAGAGAGAGAGAGAGAGAGAGAGAGAGAGAGAGAGAGAGAGAGAGAGAGAGAGAGAUCAUGCUGCUCUGGUGUGUGAUUGAGGCCAGGGCUGGGUGUUUCAUUAUUAAGAUGGAAAGUCUCAUCAGACUGAAGCGACAUAUGGAACAGAGAACAUGGGAGUCUUGGCUAAAUCACAUCCUGUGAAAGCUGUCACCACACAGCAGUCCCAAUGGCCCAUUCAGGCUGUGGUGUCAUUUUCAUAACAUGAGUUCAGGACUGAUGUGUGGGGAAGCAUCCGCCGUCGAGACUAUGAAGCGAUGCAAGAGAUAAAGUGUUUCUAAUGAGCUUUUGGGACUCUUGGGAAGUAAAUAUUCUUCGAAUGUGAGAAAGGUCUGAAAUAUGAAAAGUGGAUGUGUGUUUUGGCUGCAGCACUGAUACGCUGUAUCCUUUACAGCCUCUACAGAGUGUGACAGUGGACAUGUUGAGGCAGAGAAUACCAUCACGCCACUGACAAAUGGCUAUACCAGACAGAGAUAGAUGGUGAAAAGGAGAAAGAGAUCUAAAAGUGAGAGAAAGAGGUUCUGCUAUUGCUUUACACAUCACAAAAAUAAAACAUUCCCCAGGGCCGACAUUUCAGAGCUUCAUCAAUGUAGUGUUGAGGAACUCUCUUCCCCGGGCCAUGCACAGAAAGGACGAGAUAUUUCGAUCUGCAUGUUUGUGGUAAUUAGAAUACAAAUGGGUCUUGUAAAUUCUUUAAGAUGCUACAAGGGGUUUAAGAGGUCAGUGGAGGAUAGGUGUUGGACGGUUUUGGGGAAGACUGUAUAUAGACUGCAUUAUGAGUAUAGACUGGGUGGAAAACUGCACUAUAAUUUCUCAAUUUCCUUCUUUUGUUUGCCUGUUCAACUGAGGUAUGCUAUUUACAUUUUACAAAGUAAUUUGUUAUGUUUGACAUUUUAUAUUUGCAUUUGAUUUGCUGUAUGCAUGCAUUAGGUUUCAUAAACAACAAUGAACAA